RNAcentral lists this ribosomal RNA (745 nucleotides) under uncultured bacterium. Its description in RNAcentral is "bacterial SSU rRNA". It matches the Rfam family "Bacterial small subunit ribosomal RNA", at positions 641 to 1386 of the family's 1533-position model. The record is from RNAcentral.
CNUGAGUGCAAGAGGGGAGAGUGGAAUUCCAUGUGUAGCGGUGAAAUGCGUAGAUAUAUGGAGGAACACCGGUGGCGAAAGCGGCUNUCUGGCUUGUAACUGACGCUGAGGCUNGAAAGCGUGGGGAGCAAACAGGAUUAGAUACCNUGGUAGUCCACGCCGUAAACGAUGAGUGCUAGGUGUUAGACCCUUUCCGGGGUUUAGUGCCGCAGCUAACGCAUUAAGCACUCCGCCUGGGGAGUACGACCGCAAGGUUGAAACUCAAAGGAAUUGACGGGGGCCCGCACAAGCGGUGGAGCAUGUGGUUUAAUUCGAAGCAACGCGAAGAACCUUACCAGGUCUUGACAUCCCUCUGACCGCUCUAGAGAUAGAGUUUUCCUUCGGGACAGAGGUGACAGGUGGUGCAUGGUUGUCGUCAGCUCGUGUCGUGAGAUGUUGGGUUAAGUCNCGCAACGAGCGCAACCCCUAUUGUUAGUUGCCAUCAUUCAGUUGGGCACUCUAGCGAGACUGCCGGUAAUAAACCGGAGGAAGGUGGGGAUGACGUCAAAUCAUCAUGCCCCUUAUGACCUGGGCUACACACGUGCUACAAUGGCUGGUACAACGAGUCGCAAGCCGGUGACGGCAAGCUAAUCUCUUAAAGCCAGUCUCAGUUCGGAUUGUAGGCUGCAACUCGCCUACAUGAAGUCGGAAUCGCUAGUAAUCGCGGAUCAGCACGCCGCGGUGAAUACGUUCCCGGGCCUUGUNC